RNAcentral lists this ribosomal RNA (484 nucleotides) under uncultured bacterium. RNAcentral's name for it is "partial 16S ribosomal RNA". It matches the Rfam family "Bacterial small subunit ribosomal RNA", at positions 30 to 507 of the family's 1533-position model. The record is from RNAcentral.
AUUGAACGCUGGCGGCAGGCCUAACACAUGCAAGUCGAGCGGAUGAAGGGAGCUUGCUCCUGGAUUCAGCGGCGGACGGGUGAGUAAUGCCUAGGAAUCUGCCUGGUAGUGGGGGAUAACGUCCGGAAACGGGCGCUAAUACCGCAUACGUCCUGAGGUAGAAAGUGGGGGUUCUUCGGACCUCACGCGAUCAGCUGAGACUAGGUCGGAUUAGCUAGUUGGUAGGGUAAAGGCCUACCAAGGCGACGAUCCGUAACUGGUCUGAGAGGAUGAUCAGUCACACUGGAACUGAGACACGGUCCAGACUCCUACGGGAGGCAGCAGUGGGGAAUAUUGGGCAAUGGGCGAAAGCCUGAUCCAGCCAUGCCGCGUGUGUGAAGAAGGUCUUCGGAUUGUAAAGCACUUUAAGUUGGGAGGAAGGGCAGUAAGUGAAUACCUGGCUGUUUUGACGUUACCAACAGAAUAAGCACCGGCUAACUUCGUG